UUGAGAGAAUUUCAUGAGAGUUAGAGAGAUUUCUAAGAGUUACAUUAUUGGGUGUAAUUGGGUUUUUGGUAGUGAGAGAUUGUGAGUGUUUGUAAACACUUUGUGUAAAUUUCCUUUUUUCAAUAUAAAGGUCUGCAACAGCCCGGAGACAUAGGUGGAUUUGGCCGAAUUCCGUUAUCAAUAUUGUGUGUUAUUAUUCCGCAUUUUUCACUUUCACUUUAGUCGGACAAAGGGAAAUUUUGUGUAGUUUCUUAACAAUUUAUUGUUGUUUUUAUUUCCAAUUUUAUGUUUAUGUUUUGCACAAACUAAGUUUAGGUGAUCUUUGUUAAUUCUUUUGGAUAUUUUCACCAAACCUACUUUACUGUCUCAAAUAGUACUAGAUAAUACCUAAUUCUUACUCGUGUAUAUUUAUGUCUAAUCUUAGUUAUGCAGAGAUAGUCAAGUUAGCUUGUACAUGUUUGUAGAAACGUGAAGGAGGCAGAGAAUAUUUUGUUGGGAUUUAAUGGUGACAAUUAUUGCAAGACUUUAACAAAGAAAUUUAUGGAUGAAGAUUGUAUUUAGAGAAUUUCAAAAUGUGUUGCUACACUAGCCUUUAGAUUCGAUCUGCCUCCUCCAAUCUGAUGUAAAUGAGAUGAACAGCGAUUCCCUUUCAGGGUACUUUGAAAAACCUUGUGUUAGCUUCACACAUUGCUGUUUGUUAUGGAGGUGAAACAACUUCUCUCAAAUCAUAUUGUUUUUUCAAAGGUGGGAGCAAGAGCAAAGACAAUGAAAGUUAAGCAUUUAAUG
Non-coding RNA from Cicer arietinum (chickpea), 786 nucleotides. The record is from RefSeq and is a predicted model, not a curated record. Lineage: Eukaryota; Viridiplantae; Streptophyta; Magnoliopsida; Fabales; Fabaceae.